RNAcentral lists this transfer RNA (87 nucleotides) under Hyphomicrobiales bacterium. Its description in RNAcentral is "tRNA-Leu". It matches the Rfam family "tRNA". Rfam says of the family: Transfer RNA (tRNA) molecules are approximately 80 nucleotides in length. Their secondary structure includes four short double-helical elements and three loops (D, anti-codon, and T loops). Lineage: Bacteria; Pseudomonadati; Pseudomonadota; Alphaproteobacteria; Hyphomicrobiales. The record is from RNAcentral. RNAcentral also lists the same sequence under 3 other names.
GCCCCUGUGGCGGAAUUGGUAGACGCGACAGAUUCAAAAUCUGUUGUCCUCACGGGCGUGCCUGUUCGAGUCAGGCCAGGGGCACCA